This is a long non-coding RNA of Labeo rohita (rohu), 1165 nucleotides long. RefSeq lists it as uncharacterized. The record is from RefSeq and is a predicted model, not a curated record. The transcript has 3 exons. Lineage: Eukaryota; Metazoa; Chordata; Actinopteri; Cypriniformes; Cyprinidae.
GUCCUCCUUUUUUCACAAGGGAAGGGAAGAUGUUGCACAGGGUGAACAGUUCAAAACAGUUCAUAAAGUAUAUUUAAAUGUCUAGUGCUGACCAGCUGAUAGCUGCAAAAACACAAGGAAAUGAGUAAUAAAAAUUACCUAUUAACUCAGCUGAACAGUUACACCUCUUUCAACCUUUGCUCAAAAUGCUUCCAUUGUGAUGCACUGCGCAAUGUAAAUAUGAUCAUCAAAAAUAACAAAAAAGGCUGAAAUAUUGGAUUGUACCAAGCAACAGACAGGGCAUCAUGGGGAACAUACACCACAGAGUUAAUAUGGUUCUGGUUACCUAUUUAGUUAUGGCAAUGUCUGCACAUGAAUGUUUGAAUUCUCAAGACGACCAAGCAACUGUUUCAACAGAUUUUACACCGAAAAGUACUUCAGAUGAACCAAACGCCACAGAAUCAACAGGAAUCACUGAAGUCCACUCUGCCUGGCCCAUUGUGCUCGGUAUUUUGACAGCAUUGCUUUCCAUCGGCCUCCUGAUAGCACUGGCCGUGAGGUACCGCUUCAUCCGAUGGUGCCUGGCCAGAAACAGUCGCGCUUUAUUACUGGAGGGAGAAACAGCCAAUCAGUUCGGCCAAGCUGGAGAUCUGGGAGGGACAGAUGCCAGUGCGUGGCAUGAGGGGUAGGAUGAUCCAGAGAGGAGAAAGUUCAGAUGAUGAUGAUGAUGGAUUCAUCGAGGACAACUACAUCCAGGCAAACGAGAGAGAGAAAGCAGAAGAAGAGGAAAUCCAACAGGAAGAUACUGAGGAGAGUGAUGAUGAAUUGUUAAUUCCAGACAGUAUACAAAGUGAUUUUACCCACACACUGUAUGUGCACUAGAGUGACCAUCAGCUUCUUGGUCACCAACUCCAACUCCACUUGGUUAAAUCAUUUCUGUUUUUUUAUUUCUAAUAAAUUUGCAAAGUUGUUACAAACCUGUUUUGUCAUUAUAGUGUGUGGAGUGUAAGUAAUUUUAAACAGUUUAACGUUUGCAACAUAAAUUGUGGAAAAAAAUGGGGUGUGAAUACUUUCACAAGGCACUGAAGCAGUCAGUUCAUUAAAGAAAUAUUUUGGUUUUAAUAAAAGUGAAGUUCAGUCUACAACAUUAUGUGGCAUAAUGUUCAGAACUUCAAAAUUUAUAUUG